GAAUGGGGAAACCCAGUGUGACUCGUCACACUAUCAUUAACUGAAUCCAUAGGUUAAUGAGGCGAACCGGGGGAACUGAAACAUCUAAGUACCCCGAGGAAAAGAAAUCAACCGAGAUUCCCCCAGUAGCGGCGAGCGAACGGGGAGGAGCCCAGAGCCUGAAUCAGCAUGUGUGUUAGUGGAAGCGUCUGGAAAGGCGCGCGAUACAGGGUGACAGCCCCGUACACAAAAGCGCAUGUGCUGUGAGCUCGAUGAGUAGGGCGGGACACGUGGUAUCCUGUCUGAAUAUGGGGGGACCAUCCUCCAAGGCUAAAUACUCCUGACUGACCGAUAGUGAACCAGUACCGUGAGGGAAAGGCGAAAAGAACCCCGGCGAGGGGAGUGAAAAAGAACCUGAAACCGUGUACGUACAAGCAGUGGGAGCACCCUUUUGGGUGUGACUGCGUACCUUUUGUAUAAUGGGUCAGCGACUUAUAUUCUGUAGCAAGGUUAACCGAAUAGGGGAGCCGCAGGGAAACCGAGUCUUAAUUGGGCGUUAAGUUGCAGGGUAUAGACCCGAAACCCGGUGAUCUAGCCAUGGGCAGGUUGAAGGUUGGGUAACACUAACUGGAGGACCGAACCGACUAAUGUUGAAAAAUUAGCGGAUGACCUGUGGCUGGGGGUGAAAGGCCAAUCAAACCGGGAGAUAGCUGGUUCUCCCCGAAAGCUAUUUAGGUAGCGCCUCGUGAAUUCAUCUCCGGGGGUAGAGCACUGUUUCGGCUAGGGGGCCAUCCCGGCUUACCAACCCGAUGCAAACUGCGAAUACCGGAGAAUGUUAUCACGGGAGACACACGGCGGGUGCUAACGUCCGUCGUGAAGAGGGAAACAACCCAGACCGCCAGCUAAGGUCCCAAAGUCAUGGUUAAGUGGGAAACGAUGUGGGAAGGCCCAGACAGCCAGGAUGUUGGCUUAGAAGCAGCCAUCAUUUAAAGAAAGCGUAAUAGCUCACUGGUCGAGUCGGCCUGCGCGGAAGAUGUAACGGGGCUAAACCAUGCACCGAAGCUGCGGCAGCGACACUAUGUGUUGUUGGGUAGGGGAGCGUUCUGUAAGCCUGUGAAGGUGUGCUGUGAGGCAUGCUGGAGGUAUCAGAAGUGCGAAUGCUGACAUAAGUAACGAUAAAGCGGGUGAAAAGCCCGCUCGCCGGAAGACCAAGGGUUCCUGUCCAACGUUAAUCGGGGCAGGGUGAGUCGACCCCUAAGGCGAGGCCGAAAGGCGUAGUCGAUGGGAAACGGGUUAAUAUUCCCGUACUUGGUGUUACUGCGAAGGGGGGACGGAGAAGGCUAUGUUGGCCGGGCGACGGUUGUCCCGGUUUAAGCGUGUAGG
RNAcentral lists this ribosomal RNA (1362 nucleotides) under Salmonella enterica subsp. enterica serovar Cerro str. CFSAN001587. RNAcentral describes it as "bacterial LSU rRNA". It matches the Rfam family "Bacterial large subunit ribosomal RNA", at positions 116 to 1524 of the family's 2925-position model. Lineage: Bacteria; Pseudomonadati; Pseudomonadota; Gammaproteobacteria; Enterobacterales; Enterobacteriaceae. The record is from RNAcentral. RNAcentral also lists the same sequence under 1 other name.